AGACUUACCUAGUAGGAGAGACACCAUGACCAGGAAGGUGGUUUCAGGGCGCAGCUUGUCCAUUGCACUCCAGAUGUGCUGACCCCUGUGAUGUCCCCAAACGUGGGAAACUCGACUGCAUAAUUUGUGUUAGUGGGGAACUGCGUUUGCACUCUCCCCUU
Molecule: small nuclear RNA, 161 nt
Organism: Artibeus jamaicensis (Jamaican fruit-eating bat)
Lineage: Eukaryota; Metazoa; Chordata; Mammalia; Chiroptera; Phyllostomidae
Product: U1 spliceosomal RNA
Exons: 1
Source: RefSeq, a predicted model, not a curated record